Molecule: ribosomal RNA, 490 nt
Filed under: uncultured bacterium
Lineage: Bacteria
Description: partial 16S ribosomal RNA
Rfam family: Bacterial small subunit ribosomal RNA
Source: RNAcentral
AUUGAACGCUGGCGGCAGGCCUAACACAUGCAAGUCGAACGGUAACAGGAAGAAGCUUGCUUCUUUGCUGACGAGUGGCGGACGGGUGAGUAAUGUCUGGGAAACUGCCGGAUGGAGGGGGAUAACUACUGGAAACGGUAGCUAAUACCGCAUAACGUCGCAAGCCCAAAGAGGGGGACCUUCUGGCCUCUUGCCAUCGGAUGUGCCCAGAUGGGAUUAGCUAGUACGUGGGGUAACGGCUCACCUAGGCGACGAUCCCUAGCUGGUCUGAGAGGAUGACCAGCCACACUGGAACUGAGACACGGUCCAGACUCCUACGGGAGGCAGCAGUGGGGACUAUUGCACAAUGGGCGCAAGCCUGAUGCAGCCAUGCCGCGUGUAUGAAGAAGGCCUUCGGGUUGUAGAGUACUUUCAGCGGGGAGGAAGGGAGUAAAGUUAAUACCUUUGCUCAUUGACGUUACCCGCAGAAGAAGCACCGGCUAACUCCGUG